AGAGUUUGAUCCUGGCUCAGGAUGAACGCUAGCGGCAGGCUUAACACAUGCAAGUCGAGGGGCAUCGGGAGGGAAGCUUGCUUUCCUUGCCGGCGACCGGCGCACGGGUGAGUAACACGUAUGCAACCUGCCCUCUUCAGGGGGACAACCUUCCGAAAGGGAGGCUAAUCCCGCGUAUAUCGGUUUCGGGCAUCCGAGAUCGAGGAAAGAUUCAUCGGAAGAGGAUGGGCAUGCGGCGCAUUAGCUAGACGGCGGGGUAACGGCCCACCGUGGCGACGAUGCGUAGGGGUUCUGAGAGGAAGGUCCCCCACACUGGUACUGAGACACGGACCAGACUCCUACGGGAGGCAGCAGUGAGGAAUAUUGGUCAAUGGGAGAGAUCCUGAACCAGCCAAGCCGCGUGAGGGAAGACGGCCCUAUGGGUUGUAAACCUCUUUUGUCGGAGAACAAAACCCGGGACGAGUCCCGGACUGCGUGUAUCCGAAGAAAAAGCAUCGGCUAACUCCGUGCCAGCAGCCGCGGUAAUACGGAGGAUGCGGGCGUUAUCCGGAUUUAUUGGGUUUAAAGGGUGCGUAGGCGGUCCGUUAAGUCAGCGGUAAAAUUGCGGGGCUCAACCCCGUCGAGCCGUUGAAACUGGCAGACUUGAGUUGGCGAGAAGUACGCGGAAUGCGCGGUGUAGCGGUGAAAUGCAUAGAUAUCGCGCAGAACUCCGAUUGCGAAGGCAGUGUACCGGCGCCAGACUGACGCUGAGGCACGAAAGCGUGGGGAUCGAACAGGAUUAGAUACCCUGGUAGUCCACGCAGUAAACGAUGAAU
Molecule: ribosomal RNA, 815 nt
Filed under: uncultured bacterium
Lineage: Bacteria
Description: bacterial SSU rRNA
Rfam family: Bacterial small subunit ribosomal RNA
Source: RNAcentral